CCGCGUGAAUGAUGAAGGCCUUCGGGUUGUAAAAUUCUGUUAUAAGGGAAGAACGACUUUAGUAGGAAAUGGCUAGAGUGUGACGGUACCUUAUGAGAAAGCCACGGCUAACUACGUGCCAGCAGCCGCGGUAAUACGUAGGUGGCGAGCGUUAUCCGGAAUUAUUGGGCGUAAAGAGCGCGCAGGUGGUUGAUUAAGUCUGAUGUGAAAGCCCACGGCUUAACCGUGGAGGGUCAUUGGAAACUGGUCGACUUGAGUGCAGAAGAGGGAAGUGGAAUUCCAUGUGUAGCGGUGAAAUGCGUAGAGAUAUGGAGGAACACCAGUGGCGAAGGCGGCUUCCUGGUCUGUAACUGACACUGAGGCGCGAAAGCGUGGGGAGCAAACAGGAUUAGAUACCCUGGUAGUCCACGCCGUAAACGAUGAGUGCUAAGUGUUGGGGGUCGAACCUCAGUGCUGAAGUUAACGCAUUAAGCACUCCGCCUGGGGAGUACGGUCGCAAGACUG
This 504-nucleotide ribosomal RNA is filed under the name uncultured Bacillota bacterium. Its description in RNAcentral is "bacterial SSU rRNA". It matches the Rfam family "Bacterial small subunit ribosomal RNA", at positions 397 to 896 of the family's 1533-position model. Lineage: Bacteria; Bacillati; Bacillota. The record is from RNAcentral.